RNAcentral lists this ribosomal RNA (467 nucleotides) under uncultured bacterium. Its description in RNAcentral is "partial 16S ribosomal RNA". It matches the Rfam family "Bacterial small subunit ribosomal RNA", at positions 28 to 506 of the family's 1533-position model. The record is from RNAcentral.
GACGAACGCUGGCGGCGUGCUUAACACAUGCAAGUCGAACGGAAAGGCCCUGCUUUUGUGGGGUGCUCGAGUGGCGAACGGGUGAGUAACACGUGAGUAACCUGCCCUUGACUUUGGGAUAACUUCAGGAAACUGGGGCUAAUACCGGAUAGGAGCUCCUGCUGCAUGGUGGGGGUUGGAAAGUUUCGGCGGUUGGGGAUGGACUCGCGGCUUAUCAGCUUGUUGGUGGGGUAGUGGCUUACCAAGGCUUUGACGGGUAGCCGGCCUGAGAGGGUGACCGGCCACAUUGGGACUGAGAUACGGCCCAGGCUCCUACGGGAGGCAGCCGUGGGGAAUAUUGCACAAUGGGCGGAAGCCUGAUGCAGCAACGCCGCGUGCGGGAUGACGGCCUUCGGGUUGUAAACCGCUUUCGCCUGUGACGAAGCGUGAGUGACGGUAAUGGGUAAAGAAGCACCGGCUAACUACGU